CAAGUCGAGCGGACCGACGGGAGCUUGCUCCCUUAGGUCAGCGGCGGACGGGUGAGUAACACGUGGGUAACCUGCCUGUAAGACUGGGAUAACUCCGGGAAACCGGGGCUAAUACCGGAUGCUUGAUUGAACCGCAUGGUUCAAUCAUAAAAGGUGGCUUUUAGCUACCACUUACAGAUGGACCCGCGGCGCAUUAGCUAGUUGGUGAGGUAACGGCUCACCAAGGCGACGAUGCGUAGCCGACCUGAGAGGGUGAUCGGCCACACUGGGACUGAGACACGGCCCAGACUCCUACGGGAGGCAGCAGUAGGGAAUCUUCCGCAAUGGACGAAAGUCUGACGGAGCAACGCCGCGUGAGUGAUGAAGGUUUUCGGAUCGUAAAACUCUGUUGUUAGGGAAGAACAAGUACCGUUCGAAUAGGGCGGUACCUUGACGGUACCUAACCAGAAAGCCACGGCUAACUACGUGCCAGCAGCCGCGGUAAUACGUAGGUGGCAAGCGUUGUCCGGAAUUAUUGGGCGUAAAGCGCGCGCAGGCGGUUUCUUAAGUCUGAUGUGAAAGCCCCCGGCUCAACCGGGGAGGGUCAUUGGAAACUGGGGAACUUGAGUGCAGAAGAGGAGAGUGGAAUUCCACGUGUAGCGGUGAAAUGCGUAGAGAUGUGGAGGAACACCAGUGGCGAAGGCGACUCUCUGGUCUGUAACUGACGCUGAGGCGCGAAAGCGUGGGGAGCGAACAGGAUUAGAUACCCUGGUAGUCCACGCCGUAAACGAUGAGUGCUAAGUGUUAGAGGGUUUCCGCCCUUUAGUGCUGCAGCAAACGCAUUAAGCACUCCGCCUGGGGAGUACGGUCGCAAGACUGAAACUCAAGGGAAUUGACGGGGGCCCGCACAAGCGGUGGAGCAUGUGGUUUAAUUCGAAGCAACGCGAGAACUUUACCAGGUCUUGACAUCUCUGACACCCUAGAGAUAGGCUUCCCUCGGGCAGAGUGACAGGUGGUGCAUGUUGUCGUCAGCUCGUGUC
Molecule: ribosomal RNA, 1019 nt
Filed under: Bacillus licheniformis
Lineage: Bacteria; Bacillati; Bacillota; Bacilli; Caryophanales; Bacillaceae
Description: bacterial SSU rRNA
Rfam family: Bacterial small subunit ribosomal RNA
Source: RNAcentral